UACAGAGGAUGCAAGCGUUAUCCGGAAUGAUUGGGCGUAAAGCGUCUGUAGGUGGCUUUUUAAGUCCGCCGUCAAAUCCCAGGGCUCAACUCUGGACAGGCGGUGGAAACUACCAAGCUGGAGUACGGUAGGGGCAGAGGGAAUUUCCGGUGGAGCGGUGAAAUGCGUAGAGAUCGGAAAGAACACCAACGGCGAAAGCAGCUUACUAUGAUUAUCUUGACAGUGAGAGACGAAAGUUUGGGUAGCAAACGGG
This 253-nucleotide ribosomal RNA is filed under the name uncultured bacterium. RNAcentral describes it as "partial 16S ribosomal RNA". It matches the Rfam family "Bacterial small subunit ribosomal RNA", at positions 524 to 776 of the family's 1533-position model. The record is from RNAcentral.